UACCCCCAGGGGAAGUCGAAUCCCCGCUCCCUCC
Molecule: transfer RNA, 34 nt
Filed under: Turnera humilis
Lineage: Eukaryota; Viridiplantae; Streptophyta; Magnoliopsida; Malpighiales; Passifloraceae
Description: partial tRNA-Glu
Source: RNAcentral